RNAcentral lists this ribosomal RNA (117 nucleotides) under Paramormyrops kingsleyae. The record is from RNAcentral. Lineage: Eukaryota; Metazoa; Chordata; Actinopteri; Osteoglossiformes; Mormyridae.
GUCAGCAGCCAUGCCACCUGCAGGUCAGACUAGGUAAUCCACAUGAAGCUAAGCAGGUUUGGUUCUGGCCAGUACUUGGAGAGGAGACCAGCUAGGAAAGCUGGGUUCCUGCUGGAA